Mirounga angustirostris (Northern elephant seal) is the source of this 107-nucleotide small nuclear RNA. The record is from RefSeq and is a predicted model, not a curated record. Lineage: Eukaryota; Metazoa; Chordata; Mammalia; Carnivora; Phocidae.
GUGCUAUCUGUGGUAGCACAUAUACUAAAAUUGGAACAAUACAGAGAAGAUUACCAUGGCCCCUGUGCAAGGAUGACAUGCAAAAUCAUGAAGCAUUUCAUAUUUUU